GCCUGGCUGGCUCAGUCAGUAGAGCAUGCGAGUCUUGAUCUCAGGGUCGCGAGUUCAAGCCCCACGUUGGGCA
Molecule: transfer RNA, 73 nt
Filed under: Felis catus (domestic cat)
Lineage: Eukaryota; Metazoa; Chordata; Mammalia; Carnivora; Felidae
Rfam family: tRNA
About the family: Transfer RNA (tRNA) molecules are approximately 80 nucleotides in length. Their secondary structure includes four short double-helical elements and three loops (D, anti-codon, and T loops). Further hydrogen bonds mediate the characteristic L-shaped molecular structure. tRNAs have two regions of fundamental functional importance: the anti-codon, which is responsible for specific mRNA codon recognition, and the 3' end, to which the tRNAs corresponding amino acid is attached (by aminoacyl-tRNA synthetases). tRNAs cope with the degeneracy of the genetic code in two manners: having more than one tRNA (with a specific anti-codon) for a particular amino acid; and 'wobble' base-pairing, i.e. permitting non-standard base-pairing at the 3rd anti-codon position.
Source: Rfam by way of RNAcentral